AUUGAACGCUGGCGGCAGGCCUAACACAUGCAAGUCGAACGAGUGGCGGACGGGUGAGUAAUGUAUGGGAAACCGUCCGAUGGAGGGGGAUAACUACUGGAAACGGUAGCUAAUACCGCAUACCAGCGGAUGAGCCCAGAUGGGAUUAGCUAGUGGGUGGGGUAACGGCUCACCUAGGCGACGAUCCCUAGCUGUUCUGAGAGGAUGACCAGCCACACUGGUACUUGGACACGGUCCAGACUCCUACGGGAGGCAGCAGUGGGGAAUAUUGCACAAUGGACGCGAGCCUGAUGCAGCCAAGCCGCGUGUAUGAAGAGGGCCUUCGGGUUGUAAAGUACGUUCAGCGGGGAGGCGUUACCCGCAGAAGAAGCACCGGCUAACUCCGUGCCAGCAGCCGCGGUAAUAC
RNAcentral lists this ribosomal RNA (406 nucleotides) under uncultured bacterium. RNAcentral describes it as "partial 16S ribosomal RNA". It matches the Rfam family "Bacterial small subunit ribosomal RNA", at positions 30 to 526 of the family's 1533-position model. The record is from RNAcentral.